UCGGAAACGGGGAAGAGGGAAUGAAGAGUCGUCGGAUUCAUCGAUUGAUAGGAGAAGAGGUUUUUUAAACUGGACUGGAUAAUGGGUCAUUAUUUGUUUUAAGAGACAAACGUGAAGCCCAGUUACUCUCUUCAAUGGACCAAACUAUGUGACGUGGCAAAAUGGAAAGUUCCUAUUGGACGAUUUUUUUAAAUGGCGUGACAUGCUUCUCCUUUGAGCUUAUUCUACUUUUUAGUAUUGUAAGAUUACCAUAAAAACUCCCAGAUUCAGUAUGGCCCAUUGUGUAAGUGUUCUUAGGGUGAUUAAUCUGGCCCCGUUAGCCCACAUGGUACAGUUACACCAAACAAAAGAUGAUACUUUUUCUGUGGCAACAAGCCUCACCAAAAGAGAUUUUCUUUGGUUCACCCAUACGAGGAAUCUACGGCUUCACCACUAAAAUAAAAGCCAACAAAUUUUUUUAUGUCAUAUUAUGUUUACGAAAAAUAAAAUGAA
Molecule: long non-coding RNA, 492 nt
Filed under: Brassica napus (rape)
Lineage: Eukaryota; Viridiplantae; Streptophyta; Magnoliopsida; Brassicales; Brassicaceae
Description: long non-coding RNA (BNAP_LNC015867)
Source: RNAcentral